This is a long non-coding RNA of Magnolia sinica, 681 nucleotides long. RefSeq lists it as uncharacterized. The transcript is spliced from 2 exons. The record is from RefSeq and is a predicted model, not a curated record. Lineage: Eukaryota; Viridiplantae; Streptophyta; Magnoliopsida; Magnoliales; Magnoliaceae.
CUGACAAUAAUUUUUAAUUAUCCUGUGAUGUGUUUACAGUGUUGGAAUAUUUGCUUACUUGACUUUAACAGGUUGGCAAGGGAAGAGAUGUUGGACUGAAUCAGAUUACUCUGUUUGAGGGGACAGUGGCUGGUGUUAAUGGUGAACAAGUUAACUUAGUAGGGAUGUUUCUAGGCUUCUGUGUGCAGAUUCGUUUUGGGGUUCAUCUUUGGUUAUAUUUUAGGGAAGAAGCUUCUCGGGUAUGGCUAAUUAUCUCAUUUCUUGAUCAUUCUGUGAAAAUCUUGCAAAAUUUGAAGAAUUCUUGUUUGUCUUUGUAAACUUCUAAUGGUUGGAUAAAAAUGUAACUGGAUGAAAACAUUCAAACCUGAAAUGUAUGUUCUUCUCAAAUAUUCCAUGUUUCUCUCUCUCAGAUGGUUGGAAAUUUUGGAUCCAAGUGAUUCUUCACGGACAUAUAUGAAAAAAAAAAGUUGAGAUCUACCAAGUGUACCAUCUAUUUUGACGAUCAUAUUGUUCUUUUAUCAUUUACGAAAACUGUCCAUUUUGCAAGCCAUUGAUCAGAUGAUCAAGAUCAUCCAGUAAUUUUGGUUUAAUGUUAGUGAUCCAUGAAGAUGAUUAUUAUCCACGUGUCCAAUAUAACCCAUUUGUACCCCAAUACAUAGGAUACAUAGAACAAGUACUUUU